GCGGGUGUGGCGGAACGGUAGACGCAGAGGACUCAAAAUCCUCCGCACGCGAGUGUGUGUCGGUUCGAAUCCGACCACCCGCACCA
RNAcentral lists this transfer RNA (86 nucleotides) under Acetobacteraceae bacterium. RNAcentral describes it as "tRNA-Leu". It matches the Rfam family "tRNA". From Rfam's summary of the family: Transfer RNA (tRNA) molecules are approximately 80 nucleotides in length. Their secondary structure includes four short double-helical elements and three loops (D, anti-codon, and T loops). Further hydrogen bonds mediate the characteristic L-shaped molecular structure. tRNAs have two regions of fundamental functional importance: the anti-codon, which is responsible for specific mRNA codon recognition, and the 3' end, to which the tRNAs corresponding amino acid is attached (by aminoacyl-tRNA synthetases). tRNAs cope with the degeneracy of the genetic code in two manners: having more than one tRNA (with a specific anti-codon) for a particular amino acid; and 'wobble' base-pairing, i.e. permitting non-standard base-pairing at the 3rd anti-codon position. The record is from RNAcentral. Lineage: Bacteria; Pseudomonadati; Pseudomonadota; Alphaproteobacteria; Acetobacterales; Acetobacteraceae.